Non-coding RNA from Oryza glumipatula, 146 nucleotides. The record is from Rfam. NCBI's taxonomy places the organism in Eukaryota, Viridiplantae, Streptophyta, Magnoliopsida, Poales, Poaceae.
CCCCUAGAUAAUGAAGAGAUGAUGUCUUAUAUCUUAGCCAGCCUUCAUGAUGAUUAUGAGCCAGUUGUCUACUCCCUCGUCGGCAAGGCGGAAGCUAUCCCUGUAUUAUAUUACUAUCCUAGUGACUGAUACCUCAAUCGUCUAGC